AGGACGAACGCUGGCGGCGUGCUUAACACAUGCAAGUCGAACGAAGUCCAUCCGGUAGCAAUACCGGUGAAGGCUUAGUGGCGAACGGGUGAGUAACACGUGAGCAAUCUGCCGAUCUCUGGGGGAUAGCCAGCCUAACGGCUGGGUAAUACCGCAUACGCUCGUUGGGGGGAGUCCCCUGAUGAGGAAACCUCUGGGGGAGAUCGAGGAGCUCGCGACCUAUCAGCUAGUUGGCGGGGUAACGGCCCACCAAGGCAGCGACGGGUA
This 267-nucleotide ribosomal RNA is filed under the name uncultured bacterium. Its description in RNAcentral is "partial small subunit ribosomal RNA". It matches the Rfam family "Bacterial small subunit ribosomal RNA", at positions 26 to 285 of the family's 1533-position model. The record is from RNAcentral.